UGGGGAGUAGGCUAACGGUAAACCUUCCGGCUCUGGACCGGACAUUCCUGGUUCGAAUCCAGGCUCCCCAGCCA
This 74-nucleotide transfer RNA is filed under the name Hyphomicrobiales bacterium. RNAcentral's name for it is "tRNA-Gln". It matches the Rfam family "tRNA". Rfam says of the family: Transfer RNA (tRNA) molecules are approximately 80 nucleotides in length. Their secondary structure includes four short double-helical elements and three loops (D, anti-codon, and T loops). RNAcentral also lists the same sequence under 1 other name. The record is from RNAcentral. Lineage: Bacteria; Pseudomonadati; Pseudomonadota; Alphaproteobacteria; Hyphomicrobiales.